CCCUUGUAUAUUAGUAAUGAAAUUUAAUAAUUUUGGCGGUUAAUUUUUAAUUAGAGGAGCUUGUAUAGAUUUAGCUCUUUAUAUUUAAUAAAUAAAUUUAUUCAUCUCCGUUAUUAGUAAAAUUUCAGGUCAAGAUGUAGUAUUUAUUAGGAUAUUAGCUACAAUUAUGUAAUAAUAAAUUGAAUUUAAUUGUAAUUGUAUUUAGAGUAAUAUAAUGAAUGGCAUUAAUUAAUGU
RNAcentral lists this ribosomal RNA (235 nucleotides) under Mischonyx sp. 3 CG-2020. RNAcentral describes it as "partial small subunit ribosomal RNA". Lineage: Eukaryota; Metazoa; Arthropoda; Arachnida; Opiliones; Gonyleptidae. The record is from RNAcentral.